RNAcentral lists this ribosomal RNA (444 nucleotides) under uncultured bacterium. RNAcentral describes it as "SSU rRNA". It matches the Rfam family "Bacterial small subunit ribosomal RNA", at positions 26 to 518 of the family's 1533-position model. The record is from RNAcentral.
AGAGCGAACGCUGGCGGCAGGCCUAACACAUGCAAGUCGAGCGCCCCGCAAGGGGAGCGGCAGACGGGAGAGUAACACGUGGGAACGUACCCUUCAGUUCGGAACAACCCAGGGAAACUUGGGCUAAUACCGAAUACGUCCGUAAGGAGAAAGAUUUAUCGCUGAAGGAUCGGCCCGCGUCUGAUUAGCUUGUUGGUGAGGUAACGGCUCACCAAGGCGACGAUCAGUAGCUGGUCUGAGAGGAUGAUCAGCCUCACUGGGACUGAGACACGGCCCAGACUCCUACGGGAGGCAGCAGUGGGGAAUAUUGGACAAUGGGCGCAAGCCUGAUCCAGCCAUGCCGCGUGGGUGAUGAAGGCCCUAGGGUUGUAAAGCCCUUUCGGCGGGGAAGAUAAUGACGGUACCCGCAGAAGAAGCCCCGGCUAACUUCGCGCCAGCAGCCGC